This 616-nucleotide long non-coding RNA is filed under the name Physcomitrium patens. RNAcentral's name for it is "long non-coding RNA (PPAT_LNC014208)". Lineage: Eukaryota; Viridiplantae; Streptophyta; Bryopsida; Funariales; Funariaceae. The record is from RNAcentral.
CAACACUAGAAAUAAUAGACUUCCACUCCAACCAAUCUGACUUCAUACAAUUUCUGUAAUCAUAGACUUCUUCUAUCGAAACACACACAACUCUCAAUAAACAACAAUCAUAAUUUUCCAUCCAUGAACAAUCUCCUAUAGAAUUUGAUAAAAAACUUCCAAUAUCUUCUCAUAAUAAUUCAAUCAUAUAAUAUUUCAAUUACAUACUCAAUAUCUUAUAAAUCAAUCUUUGAUUUAUUCUAUAGAUUCACUUCAAAGUGAUCAAAAUCUAAAACAAUAAAAUAAAUGAAAAACAAGAGAUAGCACCAAGCUUAUUUUGGUUCAUGACUAUCACAAUUUGGCCUGUCUAAUAUCUUCUACAAUUGCUAUAUACUUAUCCUUGAAAUUUCAGAUUCUAACCAUCAUUUCCUAUUCAACUAUUUUUCACAAUUAAUUCAAUCAUCCGACCUACUAAAUUGACUACUCUAAGAAUGAUUAAUUUAUUUUAUCAAUAUCUUACAAAAAUGAAUUUCUACCUAUUUUAUAUAACCCCACUCCUAACUAUGUAAUGUCCUUGCAAACGCAAAAUUGAUACAUGUAUUAAAAAAACUACUUAAUAAAAUUCUAUAAUAUUACU